This 274-nucleotide ribosomal RNA is filed under the name uncultured bacterium. RNAcentral describes it as "partial 16S ribosomal RNA". It matches the Rfam family "Bacterial small subunit ribosomal RNA", at positions 523 to 796 of the family's 1533-position model. The record is from RNAcentral.
AUACGGAGGGUGCAAGCGUUGUUCGGAAUUAUUGGGCGUAAAGAGCAUGUAGGCGGACUGUUAAGUCUGGUGUGAAAGCCCGGGGCUCAACCCCGGAAGUGCAUUGGAUACUGGCAGUCUUGAGUAUGGGAGAGGAAAGUGGAAUUCCGAGUGUAGGAGUGAAAUCCGUAGAUAUUCGGAGGAACACCAGUGGCGAAGGCGGCUUUCUGGACCAAUACUGACGCUGAGAUGCGAAAGCGUGGGGAGCGAACAGGAGUAGAUACCCUAGUAGUCC